Molecule: long non-coding RNA, 1691 nt
Filed under: Ananas comosus (pineapple)
Lineage: Eukaryota; Viridiplantae; Streptophyta; Magnoliopsida; Poales; Bromeliaceae
Description: long non-coding RNA (ACOM_LNC020469)
Source: RNAcentral
AUUUAUACCAGUAAAAUAAUUUAAGUGUAAAAAGUGCAAUGUGUAUGUAAGGUACCGGACUUAUAAAAUUAUAAAGUUACGGUGUCCAUUUGGUUUGAAAGCUAUUUGAAUGAUUCCGGUGAGGUUGCGGUAGAAUGUAAUAUACCGGAUUUUAAAUAUAAAAAUAAAAAUAAAUAAAAAUAGUGUGAGAUACUAUUUUUAUUGGAUUUAGAAGAGUAAAACAUAAGUCAGAAGUGACUUGUGCUGAAAUCGGAAUGAAAACAGAAGAUCUAGAAUUUUCUGUUGGAAACGGGACAGAUAAAUAGGCAGAAAAUGCACAGUCUCAGAAAAUUAUGAAAAUUGGAGGAUAAGCCAGAAAUAUUUUUAUGAGGCUAGAUUUAAGGUUUCUGAGAGUACGAUUGUGACCCAACCCGAGAAUUUGAUACGGUUUGGGAUCUUGGUUGCUCCUGGUUGGAGUGUGUGCGAAUUCCCAAGUGAGAAUUUCGCCCCAGUUGUGAUUGGGUCUACGCUUGCGAGCGAGAGGCGCUACGCAUAUGUUGAGAUGGGUUUAGGCUGUAGGCCUACGUAGUAUUGGUGGCCUUUGGCUCACCUGUGAAAAACCGAGGAAAGUGAUUUGGCGAGUAGCCUUAUUGGGGAGUUUGACUUGAGUUCACGAACGAUGUGCUCGUGUGAGUCGUUGCGAAAGUGGUAUGAUGUUGACCGUGGCAUAUGGUAUUAGGUAAUGAGGUGCUCUUGGCGAGGCCUUGAGCUAAUGGCCAGCCACGUAGAAGUGGAAUUGGGAUGCGCCGAGGUGGGCCAUCUCACGUCAAAGUUAAGGGCUAGUGCAGAAUUAAAGCACUUAUGAUGAAGCGGUGCACCGGUGAUAUUGCUUUUAGGCAAUGUCGGUGAUUGAUUUGGAAUGCAUUCCCUGAAGGGGAAGUAAAUGCAAGGAAGAGUUCUUGCUUGUCAAGUGGCAAGUGGUGUUGGAGAGCGUAGAGUCAUCGAGUUUCGACUUGCACUACCACAUAGAGUGACGGAGACCGUAAUUUACUUUGUGAGGUGUGCCUUGCAAAGUUGGAUGCAUUUGGUAUCAUGAGCUCCGUAGUAGUCCUUUUGGAUAGUUCCGAUGAGUGAAAGGCCACUCCGAAAUGCAAAAGUGCAUUGGAACCCUCGACUAUUUGAUAAGUUGAGUUGGGGUAUGAAUUGGAAUUGAAGUGAGAUAGUUUCGAGGACGAAACUCUUUUUAAGGAGGGGAGGAUGUAAAGUACCGGACUUCUAAAAUUAUAAAGUUACGGUGUCCAUUUGGUUUGAAAGCUAUUUGAAUGAUUCCGGUGAGGUUGCGGUGGAAUGUAAUAUACCGGAUUUUAAAUAUAAAAAUAAAAAUAAAUAAAAAUAGUGUGAGAUACUAUUUUUAUUGGAUUUAGAAGAGUAAAAUAUAAGUCAGAAGUGACUUGUGCUGAAAUCGGAAUGAAAACAGAAGAUCUAGAAUUUUCUGUUGGAAACGGGACAGAUAAAUAGGCAGAAAAUGCACAGUCUCAGAAAAUUAUGAAAAUUGGAGGAUAAGCCAGAAAUAUUUUUAUGAGGCUAGAUUUAAGAUUUCAUAUUUUUCUGACACCCGUAGAGUGAGAAAUAAAAUCCGAAAGCUAUCUGAUAAAGAUUGCAGUUCGGUACAGUUUUCAGUGACCAAACGGGGUCGAAACUGAACCAGUGAU